Long non-coding RNA from Mauremys reevesii (Reeves's turtle), 485 nucleotides. RefSeq lists it as uncharacterized. NCBI's taxonomy places the organism in Eukaryota, Metazoa, Chordata, Testudines, Geoemydidae. The transcript is spliced from 2 exons. The record is from RefSeq and is a predicted model, not a curated record.
GAGACUACAGUUGUGUUCUGGGCACAGACAGUGCCUCCAGGUUCACACAGUCCUUGUGUAUCCUCCUCUCCGAAUCCACAGCUGCUCCAGCAGUGCUUGAGAAAAAAGAACAGAGAUAGGGCCAAAUCUGCUGAUACCCUGAAUAAAAAUCCAGUAGCCACUGCUGCCCACUUCUGCACCUUGCAUCUGAAGACCCAAGAGUGGAGUGAGCCUGGAGCCCUGUUGUGUCACUCAUUAGACAGUGGAGGCUGGCUCCGAUUCUGCUGCACCCACACCAGCUAACAGAGACCCAUUCCCCCAUGCCAGCUGUUGAUUCCACUUCAGGAACCAAAGGAGACUCAUGCCCCAAGUAAACAGCCCAAAUUACUUAUUUGCUACCCCUGCCACCAUCAUAGGCCAUUGGCCACCCACCUGCUACCACUGCCACUGUGAGGAACAGCUGCCACAGAGAGCGAGCUACUUAGAAGAGCCUCAGUGAGAAUAUA